This 253-nucleotide ribosomal RNA is filed under the name uncultured bacterium. Its description in RNAcentral is "partial 16S ribosomal RNA". It matches the Rfam family "Bacterial small subunit ribosomal RNA", at positions 524 to 776 of the family's 1533-position model. The record is from RNAcentral.
UACGAAGGGGGCUAGCGUUGCUCGGAAUCACUGGGCGUAAAGCGCACGUAGGCGGCCUCUUAAGUCGGUGGUGAAAUCCUGGAGCUCAACUCCAGAACUGCCUUCGAUACUGGGAGUCUUGAGUCCGGGAGAGGUGAGUGGAACUGCGAGUGUAGAGGUGAAAUUCGUAGAUAUUCGCAAGAACACCAGUGGCGAAGGCGGCUCACUGGCUCGUAACUGACGCUCAUGCACGACAGCGUGGGGAGCAAACAGG